CGGGGUGUAGCGCAGCCUGGUAGCGCACCUGCCUUGGGCGCAUGUGGUCGCAGGUUCAAAUCCUGUCACCCCGACCA
This 77-nucleotide transfer RNA is filed under the name Hydrocarboniphaga effusa. RNAcentral describes it as "tRNA-Pro". It matches the Rfam family "tRNA". From Rfam's summary of the family: Transfer RNA (tRNA) molecules are approximately 80 nucleotides in length. Their secondary structure includes four short double-helical elements and three loops (D, anti-codon, and T loops). Further hydrogen bonds mediate the characteristic L-shaped molecular structure. tRNAs have two regions of fundamental functional importance: the anti-codon, which is responsible for specific mRNA codon recognition, and the 3' end, to which the tRNAs corresponding amino acid is attached (by aminoacyl-tRNA synthetases). tRNAs cope with the degeneracy of the genetic code in two manners: having more than one tRNA (with a specific anti-codon) for a particular amino acid; and 'wobble' base-pairing, i.e. permitting non-standard base-pairing at the 3rd anti-codon position. The record is from RNAcentral. Lineage: Bacteria; Pseudomonadati; Pseudomonadota; Gammaproteobacteria; Nevskiales; Nevskiaceae.